ACGCGAAACCGCCCCUUUGGGGGCGGUCGUCAGAGCGUGGUGGCUCUGGCCUGAUGAGCAGCCGGAA
Molecule: non-coding RNA, 67 nt
Filed under: Magnetococcales bacterium
Lineage: Bacteria; Pseudomonadati; Pseudomonadota; Magnetococcia; Magnetococcales
Source: RNAcentral